AAGGUUAGCUGUCCCAUAUCCCUUGUGGAGGCUAAGGUAGCACAUACAAUGGCAGAGAUGGUAACCAGACAAUGGCUGACACUUUUACCAGGAGAAGUGGAUAGUGUAUCACCUUUGCUGAAAAGAGAGACCCAGGAGAAGAAAAAAGGCCUACAAAGAGAGUAGUAAUGAGAAAAAGAGCAGAAUAAUGUAGGAGCAGUUAUUAAUAACAUUAUCUGAUUUCACUAAAAUGAGAGUGCUGAAUUGAAUACAGCAUAGUGUCAACCUCACUCUGCCAUCCCUCCUGUCCCAGGACAGAUGGGCUGAGAGAAAACGCUGCUUUUACAUGACAGAACCGUGGGUUUCGAUUACAUGGUACAGACAUACUAACAGGUGUGCUAUAUAAUACUGUAAGGAGAUUCAGUUAUGUACUGUGUACAGACAAAUGACUUUACACACAUACAAUCACACAGAGUAUCUCUAAUCUCUGAUUGUUCUCUAACAGUGAUUUGUUCAGGUCUAUUCACACAGUAGUGCACACAGAAUGUUGUACUAACUGCAGUAUGUAUAGAUAUUUCAUAUUCUGCUAUAGUGCGAUCUAACAAGAGAACAUUUCAUCACAGUUUCAGUUCUCUUGAUGAAAAAUAUACAUGUGCUUUCAUGUUCUCAUAUAUGUGAGCACAUGAAAGCACUUGUAUCUGUACACACAUAAAUAGUCACUUCCUCUUCCAUUACCCACCCACACAGACCAAAAUAGGCCUCACUCUGUGUGUAGGAGCAUCACAGGUGGUUUUACUAGCUGAAGUAGAGCAGCAAAAAAAUCCCCCAGCCUUCACAUGAACGAUGUUCACUGCACCUUAUUAACUCAGUGUGUGUGUACUGUAGCUAUACACAUAAACCAUAGGCAGUGAAAUAAUUAUUGCACAACUCCUCCAUCUGACUAAGACAUGAAUAAUAAGUUAAAUGUGUACAUGUGAUGUGAAACUGUAGCAGCUACUGUUCAAAACAAGUCUUCAUCCCUCUCACAGUGUUUAAAAAGAAGAAGGGAAAGAAGAAGUGUGAGGCAGUGUGUCUGGUAAAGGGAAGUGAGAGAAGUCCAACACAACAGCUGCUACCCUUCCUGCAAAGCCGUUCCCUGACAAACCACUCUGUUUGUCUCUGGGGCAGAAGAAAAGGACCAAAGAGAGGCCACAAAAAGAGAGAGCAAAAAAGAUUGAGAGGAGAAAAGAGAGGCAAAGAAAGCCCCCUUCUGGCUCCCUCUAACCCAUACACAUCUCCCACUGCUUUGCCCAGUUUCUCACUCUCGCUUGGCAACUGAAUGCCUCACACAAAGAAUUUCAGCUUUCGGCCAAAGACAAGGCCAGAAGGAGGCCGAACCUCCAGCAGACGGCCGGUUGCCCCUGGACACCGCUGUCCAGUAAAUAGAUUCCACCGGUACAGAAAUUGGUG
Long non-coding RNA from Ictalurus punctatus (channel catfish), 1428 nucleotides. NCBI's taxonomy places the organism in Eukaryota, Metazoa, Chordata, Actinopteri, Siluriformes, Ictaluridae. The record is from Ensembl.